GUGGGUAUGGUGAAAUGGUAUCACUCCAGCUUCCCAAGCUGGCCGUGCGGGUUCGAUUCCCGCUACCCGCU
This 71-nucleotide transfer RNA is filed under the name Fidelibacterota bacterium. Its description in RNAcentral is "tRNA-Gly". It matches the Rfam family "tRNA". Rfam says of the family: Transfer RNA (tRNA) molecules are approximately 80 nucleotides in length. Their secondary structure includes four short double-helical elements and three loops (D, anti-codon, and T loops). Further hydrogen bonds mediate the characteristic L-shaped molecular structure. tRNAs have two regions of fundamental functional importance: the anti-codon, which is responsible for specific mRNA codon recognition, and the 3' end, to which the tRNAs corresponding amino acid is attached (by aminoacyl-tRNA synthetases). tRNAs cope with the degeneracy of the genetic code in two manners: having more than one tRNA (with a specific anti-codon) for a particular amino acid; and 'wobble' base-pairing, i.e. permitting non-standard base-pairing at the 3rd anti-codon position. Lineage: Bacteria; Pseudomonadati; Fidelibacterota. The record is from RNAcentral.